AAUUUAAAUCAUUAAAAGUGCUCUCAAAUAUAGGCCCUAAUUAAAGCUCUCUGCUAUAUUAAAACAAAUCUUUCUUGCCUCCUUUUCCAUACGUUAUGUAGAAACUGGAGCAAAUGUAUCUUAACAGACAGGACUGCUAUAGAUAAAGAACAAGACAGGCUCAGUCAAUUGCAAUUAUUAUAAAAACAUGUCCAACCAGUCCUCUAAUAGUAUAGAAACUCUGUGAUCUUUUUAGCACAACCAGCUUAUAGAAACUCUUUGCUCGUAAGAACAAUACAGUAGCAACAAGAAUUCCAAGUACAGUGGUAGACUGGUAGGCUGGCAGCUAAGCACUGGAUUGCUCCAAGCAUGUGCACCACUGGUCCAUCAAGACCUCCACCAGUUGCAGUAGCAGCCAGCCAAUAAAAGCGGAGCA
RNAcentral lists this unclassified non-coding RNA (415 nucleotides) under Hevea brasiliensis (rubber tree). Lineage: Eukaryota; Viridiplantae; Streptophyta; Magnoliopsida; Malpighiales; Euphorbiaceae. The record is from RNAcentral.